RNAcentral lists this unclassified non-coding RNA (335 nucleotides) under soil metagenome. RNAcentral's name for it is "partial contains 5.8S ribosomal RNA, internal transcribed spacer 2, and large subunit ribosomal RNA". The stretch from base 1 to 120 matches the Rfam family "5.8S ribosomal RNA", at positions 35 to 154 of the family's 154-position model. The record is from RNAcentral.
GAUGAAGAACGCAGCGAAUUGCGAUAAGUAAUGUGAAUUGCAGAAUUCAGUGAAUCAUCGAAUCUUUGAACGCACAUUGCGCCCAUUAGCAUUCUAGUGGGCAUGCCUGUUCGAGCGUCAUUUCAACCCUUAAGCCCUGUUGCUUAGCGUUGGGAGCCUACAGUACUGUAGCUCCCCAAAGUUAGUGGCGGAGUCGGUUUCACACUCUAGACGUAGUAAUUUUUUCUCGUCUGUAGUUGAGCCGGUCCCCUGCCGUAAAACACCCAAUUUAUCAAGGUUGACCUCGGAUCAGGUAGGAAUACCCGCUGAACUUAAGCAUAUCAAUAAGCGGAGGA